GAACGAACGCUGGCGGCGUGCCUAACACAUGCAAGUCGAACGAGAAAGGGGCUUCGGCUCCGAGUAAAGUGGCGCACGGGUGAGUAACACGUGGGUAACCUGCCUCUAAGAUUGGGAUAACUCGUCGAAAGAUGAGCUAAUACCGAAUAAGACCACAGUUCCCGCGGGAACAGGGGUCAAAGGUAGCCUCUGCUUGCAAGCUAUCACUUAGAGAUGGGCCUGCGCACCAUUAGCUAGUUGGUAGGGUAACGGCCUACCAAGGCAAAGAUGGUUAGCUGGUCUGAGAGGAUGAUCAGCCACACUGGAACUGAGACACGGUCCAGACUCCUACGGGAGGCAGCAGUGGGGAAUAUUGCGCAAUGGGCGAAAGCUUGACGCAGCAACGCCGCGUGAGUGAUGAAGGCCUUCGGGUCGUAAAGCUCUGUCGGGAGGAACGAAUGCUCCUGAGGUUAACAGCCUCGGGAGGGGACGGUACCUUCAAAGGAAGCACCGGCUAACUCUGU
RNAcentral lists this ribosomal RNA (503 nucleotides) under uncultured bacterium. RNAcentral's name for it is "partial 16S ribosomal RNA". It matches the Rfam family "Bacterial small subunit ribosomal RNA", at positions 27 to 506 of the family's 1533-position model. The record is from RNAcentral.